UGGUGACCAAAUCCAGAAGACUGACCUGAGC
This 31-nucleotide non-coding RNA is filed under the name Homo sapiens (human). The record is from RNAcentral. Lineage: Eukaryota; Metazoa; Chordata; Mammalia; Primates; Hominidae.